RNAcentral lists this ribosomal RNA (253 nucleotides) under uncultured bacterium. Its description in RNAcentral is "partial 16S ribosomal RNA". It matches the Rfam family "Bacterial small subunit ribosomal RNA", at positions 524 to 776 of the family's 1533-position model. The record is from RNAcentral.
UACGUAGGGUGCAAGCGUUAGUCGGAAUUACUGGGCGUAAAGCGUGCGCAGGCGGUGAUGUAAGACAGGUGUGAAAUCCCCGGGCUUAACCUGGGAACUGCAUUUGUGACUGCAUCGCUGGAGUGCGGCAGAGGGGGAUGGAAUUCCGCGUGUAGCAGUGAAAUGCGUAGAUAUGCGGAGGAACACCGAUGGCGAAGGCAAUCCCCUGGACCUGUACUGACGCUCAUGCACGAAAGCGUGGGGAGCAAACAGG